This 68-nucleotide transfer RNA is filed under the name Kradibia jacobsi. RNAcentral's name for it is "tRNA-Leu". The record is from RNAcentral. Lineage: Eukaryota; Metazoa; Arthropoda; Insecta; Hymenoptera; Agaonidae.
UUUCUAAUAUGACAGAUUAGUGUAAUAGAUUUAAAUCCUAUGUAUGUAAUUAUAAAUUACUAUUAGAU